This 85-nucleotide transfer RNA is filed under the name compost metagenome. Its description in RNAcentral is "tRNA-Leu". It matches the Rfam family "tRNA". Rfam says of the family: Transfer RNA (tRNA) molecules are approximately 80 nucleotides in length. Their secondary structure includes four short double-helical elements and three loops (D, anti-codon, and T loops). Further hydrogen bonds mediate the characteristic L-shaped molecular structure. tRNAs have two regions of fundamental functional importance: the anti-codon, which is responsible for specific mRNA codon recognition, and the 3' end, to which the tRNAs corresponding amino acid is attached (by aminoacyl-tRNA synthetases). tRNAs cope with the degeneracy of the genetic code in two manners: having more than one tRNA (with a specific anti-codon) for a particular amino acid; and 'wobble' base-pairing, i.e. permitting non-standard base-pairing at the 3rd anti-codon position. The record is from RNAcentral.
UGCCCGCGUGGGGGAAUAGGCAGACCCGACAGACUUAAAAUCUGUUGUCGCAAUGACGUACCGGUUCAAGUCCGGUCGUGGGUAU